RNAcentral lists this ribosomal RNA (442 nucleotides) under uncultured bacterium. Its description in RNAcentral is "partial 16S ribosomal RNA". It matches the Rfam family "Bacterial small subunit ribosomal RNA", at positions 338 to 795 of the family's 1533-position model. The record is from RNAcentral.
CCUACGGGGGACUGCAGUGGGGGAUAUUGGACAAUGGGGGGCACCCUGCUCCAGCGACGCCGCGUGAGUGAAGAAGUAUCUCGGUAUGUAAAGCUCUAUCAGCAGGGAAGAAGAAAUGACGGUACCUGAGUAAGAAGCCCCGGCUAACUACGUGCCAGCAGCCGCGGUAAUACGUAGGGGGCAAGCGUUAUCCGGACUUACUGGGUGUAAAGGGAGCGUAGACGGUGAUGUAAGUCUGGAGUGAAAGGCCGGGGCCCAAACCCCGGACUGCUCUUGAAACUAUGUGACUGGAGUGCAGGAGAGGUGAGCGGAAUUCGUGGUGUAGCGGUGAAAUGCGUAGAUAUUACGAGGAACACCAGUGGCGAAGGCGGCUCGCUGGACUGUAACUGACGUUGAGGCUCGAAAGCGUGGGGAGCGAACAGGAUUAGAUACCCGGGUAGUC